GAUGAACGCUGGCGGCGUGCUUAACACAUGCCAGUCGAACGAUGAAGCCCAGCUUGCUGGGCGGAUUAGUGGCGAACGGGUGAGUAACACGUGAGUAACCUGCCCUUGACUCUGGGAUAAGCCCGGGAAACUGGGUCUAAUACCGGAUAGGAGCGCCUGUCGCAUGACGGGUGCUGGAAAGAUCUUUCGGUCAUGGAUGGACUCGCGGCCUAUCAGCUUGUUGGUGAGGUAACGGCUCACCAAGGCGACGACGGGUAGCCGGCCUGAGAGGGUGACCGGCCACACGGGGACUGGGGACCGGCCCAGACCCCUAGGGGGGGCAGGGGUGGGGAAUUUUGCACAAGGGGCGAAAGCCUGAGGCAGCGACGCCGGGGGGGGGAUGACGGCCUUGGGGUGGUAAACCUCUUUCGGCAGGAAAGAAGCGAAAGUGACGGAACCUGCAGAAGAAGCCCCGGCUAACUACGG
RNAcentral lists this ribosomal RNA (465 nucleotides) under uncultured bacterium. Its description in RNAcentral is "partial 16S ribosomal RNA". It matches the Rfam family "Bacterial small subunit ribosomal RNA", at positions 28 to 506 of the family's 1533-position model. The record is from RNAcentral.